Molecule: ribosomal RNA, 1057 nt
Filed under: Escherichia coli
Lineage: Bacteria; Pseudomonadati; Pseudomonadota; Gammaproteobacteria; Enterobacterales; Enterobacteriaceae
Description: bacterial SSU rRNA
Rfam family: Bacterial small subunit ribosomal RNA
Source: RNAcentral
UGGCGGCAGGCCUAACACAUGCAAGUCGAACGGUAACAGGAAGCAGCUUGCUGCUUUGCUGACGAGUGGCGGACGGGUGAGUAAUGUCUGGGAAACUGCCUGAUGGAGGGGGAUAACUACUGGAAACGGUAGCUAAUACCGCAUAACGUCGCAAGACCAAAGAGGGGGACCUUAGGGCCUCUUGCCAUCGGAUGUGCCCAGAUGGGAUUAGCUAGUAGGUGGGGUAACGGCUCACCUAGGCGACGAUCCCUAGCUGGUCUGAGAGGAUGACCAGCCACACUGGAACUGAGACACGGUCCAGACUCCUACGGGAGGCAGCAGUGGGGAAUAUUGCACAAUGGGCGCAAGCCUGAUGCAGCCAUGCCGCGUGUAUGAAGAAGGCCUUCGGGUUGUAAAGUACUUUCAGCGGGGAGGAAGGGAGUAAAGUUAAUACCUUUGCUCAUUGACGUUACCCGCAGAAGAAGCACCGGCUAACUCCGUGCCAGCAGCCGCGGUAAUACGGAGGGUGCAAGCGUUAAUCGGAAUUACUGGGCGUAAAGCGCACGCAGGCGGUUUGUUAAGUCAGAUGUGAAAUCCCCGGGCUCAACCUGGGAACUGCAUCUGAUACUGGCAAGCUUGAGUCUCGUAGAGGGGGGUAGAAUUCCAGGUGUAGCGGUGAAAUGCGUAGAGAUCUGGAGGAAUACCGGUGGCGAAGGCGGCCCCCUGGACGAAGACUGACGCUCAGGUGCGAAAGCGUGGGGAGCAAACAGGAUUAGAUACCCUGGUAGUCCACGCCGUAAACGAUGUCGACUUGGAGGUUGUGCCCUUGAGGCGUGGCUUCCGGAGCUAACGCGUUAAGUCGACCGCCUGGGGAGUACGGCCGCAAGGUUAAAACUCAAAUGAAUUGACGGGGGCCCGCACAAGCGGUGGAGCAUGUGGUUUAAUUCGAUGCAACGCGAAGAACCUUACCUGGUCUUGACAUCCACGGAAGUUUUCAGAGAUGAGAAUGUGCCUUCGGGAACCGUGAGACAGGUGCUGCAUGGCUGUCGUCAGCUCGUGUUGUGAAAUGUUGGGUUAA